This 232-nucleotide long non-coding RNA is filed under the name Homo sapiens (human). RNAcentral's name for it is "long non-coding RNA NONHSAT136466.2". The record is from RNAcentral. Lineage: Eukaryota; Metazoa; Chordata; Mammalia; Primates; Hominidae.
UGGGAUUUUUCUCUUCAUUAUUUAUCCUGGAGCAUUUGUUGAUCUGUUCACCACUCAUUUGCAACUUAUAUCGCCAGUCCAGCAGCUAAGGAUAUUUUGUGCAGCAUGGCCUCCAACGAAGAUUUCUCCAUCACACAAGACCUGGAGAUCCCGGCAGAUAUUGUGGAGCUCCACGACAUCAAUGUGGAGCCCCUUCCUAUGGAGGACAUUCCGACGGAAAGCGUCCAGUACG